Molecule: long non-coding RNA, 2485 nt
Organism: Suricata suricatta (meerkat)
Lineage: Eukaryota; Metazoa; Chordata; Mammalia; Carnivora; Herpestidae
Source: Ensembl
UGGCAGGAUCUGGACAGGGACAGUCGCCUCCCAGAUACACCCAGUUUUAUAACAGUCUGUCCCCAGCCCCCACCUUGGCCAACUGCCAGUCAGCAUUCCACACCAGACUGGCGGCGGCAGGUGGCCAGUAGCAAAGCCUGGGGGGAGGGUGGGCACAGAGCCAGACUUAAAAUAGCCCCACCAGCCACUCGCGCCUGGGCUGGGUGGGGCUGCUGAGCAGGGCCUGGCGUGCAGGGCCCCCAACAAGCCUAAGGGGAGGGAGGGCUGGCAGGAGUAGAGGGGGUCUCCAGAGCAAGACUCCUCUGUCCCAGGGGGGGCUGACACUCAGGCGGAGGCACAAUCCCCUGGUCCUUAUUAACACAAGACGGGACAUGCCUGCAUCUCCGUGAGGAAACUGGCCCGUGUAAAGGGAGCCAGGGGAUGUGUGCACACAUGCACAUGAGUGUGUACACAUGUGUGUGGGCACAUGUGUAUGUGCCCAUACCUGGUGCUUAUUGCCUGUACACAUGGGCCUGCAUUUGAGCUGCCUUCCCCUAAUGGCUCAACUCUGCUCACCCAGGUGUGGGGGCCACAUACUGGCUUUCCUCAGGGGUCCUGGACCCCGUCCCCGCGUCCCGCUGCUCUGACAGACCCUGCCCACAGAAUGAGGCCUGCAGGAGCCUGUGGCUGAUGGCUGCACUGGGAGGGGCUGUGACAUCAUCUCCGCAAGUCUCCUCAAGGGAGGAGGUGGGGGGUAGUGAAAGGUCAGGUCGCUGUUGGCAGAGCCAGGGAGCUGGUGGGGACCGAAGCCCUGGGGAGAGAGGUCCAGCCCUGCAGAGAGAGCAGCAGGCAGCAGUGUGGGCAGUGGGUUGAGGCCAAGCGGACAGAGCUGUUUCCAAGGCAACCUGGGGAGGUCGAAGGGCUGGGCCAGAAGGAAGAAGAGGGUGCCCUUGUUUCCUCUUGGGUCCCUUGGUCAAGCUCUGUCACACAUCUGCCACCCCUCCCUGGCCCCACCUGCCAUCACCAAAGCCAGCUCACCCCUCCCCGCUGAAACCACCUUUAAGCAGAAAGAGAAACCAAAGAGUCAUGCACCCCAGGGAUCCCAGGACCGGAGGCACUGUUUGCCGGGUUCAUGCCCAGCUAAGCAAGAGCACUCAGAAGUGGGCCGAGGGCGUGCUGCCCACAGGGCCGGCUCACCUCUCCUCUUUCUGGACAUGCCUUGCUGGAGGUAAAGUACAGGACUGCACCUAGGUGAGUGGAAACCCCCUGCGGGAGGGGGUAGGGGUCGUGGGCUGCCGCAGCGCCUGCCUUCUGUGGCUGUCCUGUGACUAUCAGGUUGGGCGCCUUCAACUUCUAACACCCCCCCACCCGACCCCCCGCCAGAUGGUGAGAUUGGUUAGAUGGUGAGCGGCCCUGCGCCCUUCCCUGCCUGCCAGCGCCAGGAGCUCCUGUGACUUCAGACCCUCUUCCCCCAGGCUCCUCGCUCCCGCCCCACAGCUGCAGGUGUACCUGCUAGAUAGAAUUCACCGACACUUGCGUCCUCUGCUUUUUUCUCUGGGCAUCUUCCCCGGCCCGUUCUGUCCCCGGCUGGUAGUCGUGGGGGACAAGGUGCCCCAGGCGCUGGCCUCAGGGACGGCGUACAGAGCGGGCCCCUGUGUCUCUGCGCCUGCAGCUCGAACCCUGCAGGAUCCCCUCUGCCUCCGCAGGGCUGGGCCUGCUCCUCGAUCUCUGCAGGAGAGGACCCCGGACUUCUGCUUCUUGGGGGGGGGGGGCAGAGAGGACAGGAUGCCUGAAUGGCUCACGUUUGCUCUGAAAUCACAAUUCUGAUUCCAGAGUCUUUAAUGCCAUUUUGUCCUUUUAGAGGCUUAUUUUUUACUUAAAAAGUGUGUGGGGUGCGUAGACCCAGCCGUGGGAGGCCCGUCGGGAAGUUCCGGGUUGCACGGGAAAAUAGGGGUGGGGCACGCGGAAGGGCGGCAGGGAAUGCAGUCCGGCAUUUUCAGGCAGACCUCAGGGGGACGCAGACGCGCUGCGGACGGUUCUGUGGUUCAGCGGCAUUUUGUAACCGUGAACUCCAGUUUAGCUUUUUUUCUUUUCAAUUUUUAAAAUAUGUUUUAUUUAUUUUUGAGACAGAGAGAGACAGAGCAUGAGCAGGGUAGGGGCAGAGAGAGAGGGAGACACAGAAUCUGAAGACAGGCUCCAGGCUCUGAGCUGUCAGCACAGAGCCUGAUGCGGGGCUCGAACCCACGAACGUGAGAUCAUGACCUGAGCUGAAGUUGGAGGCUUAGUGGACUGAGCCACCCAGGCGCCCCCUCCAGUUUAGCUUUGACCGGUGAACCCGGGAGGGUCUGUGUGGACACUAAGAUCGCAGCCCACUGAUGUCCCAAUUAAAUGUUUUCUUUUGAUUUCAGGACAAGUUGUUAGCUGUUAGCAUUUGUUAUUUUUUCCUUCUGUUGCCACCCCUUCCUGGAUCACGGGGCAGUUGGGUGCAAAUCAAACGGUUCACUGU